Long non-coding RNA from Telopea speciosissima, 268 nucleotides. RefSeq lists it as uncharacterized. The transcript is spliced from 4 exons. Lineage: Eukaryota; Viridiplantae; Streptophyta; Magnoliopsida; Proteales; Proteaceae. The record is from RefSeq and is a predicted model, not a curated record.
AACCCAGAAAGAAACAGAAUGGCUGUGAUUAGAUAUUGACCAGAAUUGAAGAAUGAGCAGUAAACAGAAAUCAGAUUAUCAGAUGCACUCCAGAAUUUGAUGGAACAUCCUAUUCUAAUAAGAGAACAGAAUAUCAGAGUCUGGAACUAAUCCAACGGUCAGAUUCAGAGUUAUAGAAGAAACCUAGUUGAAAUAGCACUUUCUAGAACUGAGAAUCGAUUUGUGUGUGGACUGAUCUCAGAACAGCAUAUAGUGCAAUCAGAUUAAG